This 635-nucleotide long non-coding RNA is filed under the name Lepisosteus oculatus (spotted gar). Its description in RNAcentral is "lncRNA (ENSLOCG00000021876.1)". Lineage: Eukaryota; Metazoa; Chordata; Actinopteri; Semionotiformes; Lepisosteidae. The record is from RNAcentral.
GAGAGGAUAUUGCUCACGCUUGCGGGGCGGUCUUUUUUUUUUCUGCGUGAGAGCGCCCUGGGUGUGUGUGUGAGUGUGUGUGCAGACUUCGUCACGGUUAACUCGCCACCUGCGAAAGCCGUGUUAUACACCUUCGUCUGUCGGGCUACCGUCACCCCGGAGAGGUGCGAGCGGAGGGAAGGAAAAAGCGGAGGUUUCUCUCCAGCGGAAAAGUAACGAAACCCGACGCGCCCGGCUCGGCUCGGCUCGGCUCGGCUCGCCCUGGUCGCCUGCACCGCUGCGAACUUGGCGCCAUGGGAUCCAAGGCGUGUAUCGAUUUCACCAAGUAUUUCCUCUUCCUGUUCAACCUCUUCUUCUUCGUAAGUAUGCUGUGCCGACACUCUGCUCGGAAAUUGUAGAGAACGAAGGAAAAAAAAAAAGACCUCCCAGCAUGCACCUGUCGGCAGUGAGUCAGGGGCCCGGGGGUUGCUGGGAGAUGUAGUUCUAGACUCUUAAUGUUGCUCGGUAAUUCGACUGGUGAAGCUGCAGUGUCUCACUUCUCCACCUGCUCCGCUGUGUGUAGUGGGGCUGCUGGUUCAGAAUGGCUCUCCUCUGUGCUGCUUCUGUUAACAUAAUGAUCUUUGUUAUCCAUAUGU